GGCCUAUAUAGACAACAACGCAUCUUUUUCCAUGUAAAUAGAUAUAAUCUAAUACUACUCCCUUGAAGACGGUUAUAUAUACAACUCAAAUGCUUACUAUAUCAUCUUCUAAAUCGAGAUCCCUUGUUUGAUCUACCGCCACCAUUGUUCCUUCCAUCCCAUGCAGAAGCCCAGAAGAAUAGAGACAUCCAGAAAAGAACAGCUAAGAAGAUCUGAACACGGUCCUGAAGUCUAGACAAAGUUCCAAAAAUGCCUCUGGGACGAACAGGGUCCUUUUCGGGUGGCGGGUCGGACUGUGGAGCCGGUUGGGGCGACAACGCGGCGUGGAGGCGGCAUGGGUGUGAGUUGGAAUUGGAGCGAAGCGACAGAAACUGGAACUGGGAAUUAAUCGGGAUAAGAGAAGGAGACUGAAAAUUUUUGGCAUUUAACUUUGGAAAGGCUUGCGGUGGUGGUUGCGCAGAACGGGCUGUAGUUGCCGGAGAGAGAAUUGCCAUUUUUGAGGAAGGGGGAAAAUUUGAAGCAGUGUAUUGGGAAUC
RNAcentral lists this unclassified non-coding RNA (536 nucleotides) under Hevea brasiliensis (rubber tree). The record is from RNAcentral. Lineage: Eukaryota; Viridiplantae; Streptophyta; Magnoliopsida; Malpighiales; Euphorbiaceae.